UACAGAGGGGGCAAGCGUUGUUCGGAAUUACUGGGCGUAAAGGGCGCGUAGGCGGCCUGCUAAGUCGAACGUGAAAUCCCCGGGCUCAACCCGGGAACUGCGUCCGAUACUGGUUGGCUUGAAUCCGGGAGAGGGAUGCGGAAUUCCAGGUGUAGCGGUGAAAUGCGUAGAUAUCUGGAGGAACACCGGUGGCGAAGGCGGCAUCCUGGACCGGCAUUGACGCUGAGGCGCGAAAGCUAGGGGAGCAAACAGG
This 253-nucleotide ribosomal RNA is filed under the name uncultured bacterium. RNAcentral's name for it is "partial 16S ribosomal RNA". It matches the Rfam family "Bacterial small subunit ribosomal RNA", at positions 524 to 776 of the family's 1533-position model. The record is from RNAcentral.